AAGAGCACGGUACGAUGAAAGUUGAAAGCUGUGUUCGGGGGGAGUUAUUGUCUAUCGUUUGCUUGUAUGGUAGAAUUAGUCAAGGGGCCUGAGAGGCGGUGGCUUACCCUGU
RNAcentral lists this non-coding RNA (112 nucleotides) under Olea europaea subsp. europaea. The record is from RNAcentral. Lineage: Eukaryota; Viridiplantae; Streptophyta; Magnoliopsida; Lamiales; Oleaceae.